This 113-nucleotide non-coding RNA is filed under the name bovine gut metagenome. Its description in RNAcentral is "FMN riboswitch (RFN element)". It matches the Rfam family "FMN riboswitch aptamer (RFN element)". Rfam says of the family: The RFN element is a highly conserved domain that is found frequently in the 5'-untranslated regions of prokaryotic mRNAs that encode for flavin mononucleotide (FMN) biosynthesis and transport proteins. This element is a metabolite-dependent riboswitch that directly binds FMN in the absence of proteins. The record is from RNAcentral.
UCUCUUCAGGGCAGGGUGCAAUUCCCUACUGGCGGUAUAGUCCGCGACUCCCCGAUGCGGGGACUGAACCGGUGCGACUCCGGUACCAACGGUAAAGUCCGGAUGGAAGGCGA